Molecule: long non-coding RNA, 38263 nt
Filed under: Cucumis sativus (cucumber)
Lineage: Eukaryota; Viridiplantae; Streptophyta; Magnoliopsida; Cucurbitales; Cucurbitaceae
Description: long non-coding RNA (CSAT_LNC002464)
Source: RNAcentral
UUUUUUUUUUUUUGUUUAAAGAAGAUAGUAAUUUAAAAAAUGUACGUGAGAAGCAUAUACAAGGAUUACAAAAAAACAAUAUGUGGAAAUUUUAUAUUUUUUCUCAAAACAUGCAUCAUCUUAUAAAAAUAAAAUAAUUAUCAAACAAUGCGUACAUGUUAUUUUAUAAGUAAAAAGGAUGAAAAAAGGCCACAAGGAAGGAUUUCAUGAGUUUGAGUUCAAAUGGUUUAAAUGAGAAUGAAAAUAAUAAUCAUCACAAAACUUUAAUUAAUUAUUUUAAAUGAUAAAAUUAUUAAAAAAUAUAUUUAUAAACAUACCAAAUUUUACUUUUGGAAUAUUUAUCACCCCAAUUUUUAUUAUAUUUAUAAAUAAAUUAAUUCAUUUUAUUAUAUUUAAAAAGUAUCAUUUAAAUAUAUUCCAUAUUGAAAAUUUCAAUUCUCAGAACCCAUUUUUGUUUUAAUAUUUAUAUUUUUUGAACAUAUAAUAUGGGGAUUGUGGAAUAUUAUUCAACCGUAGACCCAUUUUAGAUGUUAUAUUUUACUUCUUAAUCCACACGUAUACAUAAGUGGGUUGAAAUAAAUAUAAGCUAAGCAAAUAUGAACUGACAAUAUAAAUAUAACACUUUUAAACAAAAUUUACGAACUAAAAUAAAAUUAUAAAGUAAUUUUUUUAUAAAAAAAGUAGGGUUUUUCUAAGAAUAUAAUUAAAAAAUACAAAAACUAUUUACAUGACAAAAAAAAAUCAUUUCAUUCUAUUAUAAAUAAUUUAUCCAUUUUAUCAAUUUUUACCAUAAAGACAAGAUAAACAAGAAUACAUAUUAUCCUUUUUUUUGUCUUCUCACUUCAAGAAAUAGACAACUAAUUUAUAGUGAUCAAACUUUUGUAGAGAUGCAAUAGAAAAUAUAUGUGACAAACAAUUUAAUAACAGUAGACGAAUACAAAAAAUUUAAAAACUAUAUGAUAGAGAAGGUAACAAACACAACAUGUAACAUAAGUACAUAUGACGUUAUUCAAUUAGCUAUCCUCGAGCGGAAGAUAUUUUACGUUGAAAAUGAAUAUUUAAAAAGGACAACAAUAACCCAUUUAUUAUAAUAGAGACAGGAGGACAUGACACAAUUUGCAAAAACAAACCACAUUGACAUAUAUAUAUAUAUAUAUAUAUGUAUGUAUAAAUAUAUAUAGUUCCAUCCCAUUUCAUAUUCGAUAUUGUAGUGUUAUAUAUAUAUAUAUAUAUAUUUGAAACAAAAUCAUCCUCAUCCAAAUAAAAAGGAAAAAGAAAAUAAAAAGAAUAAAAGAAAUGGAAUCGACGACGACGGUGGGGAGGGUGGCCGGAAUAAUAUUGCCGACGAUGGUAGACAAGAAGAAGAAACUACCAAGGGAAUUCGUGUGGCCACGAGGGGAGUUGGCAGGGGAGGAAAGAGGGGAGUUGAAAGAGCCGUUGAUAGACUUAGGGGGAUUCAGGAGAGGGGAGGAAGAGGCGACGGCGGAGGCGGCGGCGAUGGUGAGGAUGGCAUGUAUGAAACAUGGGGUGUUUCAGGUGACGAAUCACGGAGUGGAAGAGGAGCUGAUAAAGGCGGCGUAUGAAGAAGGGGAGGGGAUAUUUAAGAUGCCAUUAGUGAAGAAAAUAAGCGUGGGGAAAAAACCGGGGAGAGUGUCGGGAUAUUCAGGAGCUCAUGCAGAUAGAUUCUCUUCAAAACUUCCAUGGAAAGAGACCUUCUCUUUUGAGUAUUCUAAUGAUGAUUCUCAACCUCUACAUGUUCUUCAUCACUUUAAAUCAUUGUUCGGUUGCGACUUCGAGAAUACUGGGUCAGUCUUCUUUAACUCUCUCCCCCCCCCAGAAAGUACUACGAUAUCCAAUCGUUUGAUUUUCAUUUUUCAGUUUUGUUAAUAUAUACGAUAUGUAUAUAUUGUGUUUGCUUAGUUUUUAAAAUAUUUGUUUAACUUAAAAAAUUCAUUAUUAAAUAAGAUUUUAAAGAUGGGUAUUUAAAAAAUAAAAAUCUUGUUAUUUUUUUUCUUUUCGAAAAUACUUAAGAAGUUAAUUAGAUGAAAGAUAAAAUAAUAUUUAUUUAGUGUAGGCUUAUGAACUCAAUGUAACAAAAACAAUGAGCCAAAUUAACAACUCUAUUUCUUCAAACAAAACACCUUCAUAAGAGUGUUACAGCUAGUGGGGCUAUAACCAUUUGUAACCACAACCAAAAAAAUUAAAAGAACUCAAAGACAGGAAAAAGAAAAAUAAGUUUGUUAUGGUUCAAACAGACAAUCAAGAAUUACUCUUUUGGUAAAGUUGAAUUAAUAAAGAAGAUUAUUGAGAUAGACAAAAACUUCUAAAAUUAUAAUAAAAUAUAAUAGUUUAAGAUAAACUACUAUGAGUAUAUAUCAUAAUCAUAUAAAUAGAUAAAAAUAUAUUUUACUGUAUUUUAUGAAUAUUUUGGUUAAUUUUAAUUAAUCAUAAAGUAAUUUGAAGUAUAUAACUUAAUUAUGGGAUGUGUUUUGUUUAUAUAUGAAGAUGGGUAUACCAAAGAUACUGUGAAGAAAUGACAAGAACAGCAUUAAUGAUAAUGGAGCUUCUAGCAAUAAGUUUGGGAGUAGAGAGAUAUCAUUACAGGAAGUUCUUUGAAGAUGGAAAGUCAAUAAUGAGAUGCAAUUACUAUCCACCAUGUGAGAAUGCAAGCCUGACUUUAGGCACAGGCCCUCAUUGUGACCCAACUUCACUCACUAUUCUCCAUCAAGAUCAAGUUGGUGGCCUUGAAGUUUUUGCUAACAACGCUUGGCUCUCUGUCAAACCUAGACCUGAUGCUUUGGUUAUUAACAUUGGUGACACUUUUAUGGUACCCAUUUUCUUUCUUUCUUUCUUUUCCUAUAUAUACACGUAUAACUUUCAACACGACACGACCGGACGUCGCAAACCAAUUUCUUGUUUUACUUUCAAUUGGACCUCUUAAUGAUAAAAACUGAACCCGUCUAAUCUUAUUUAAUUGUUACAAUUUCUAUGAGAAUGUAAGCUCGAGUGUGUCCAAUUUCAACAUUUGUAUAAGUUUAAGAACUCAAGUUUUAUAAUCGAAGUUUGAAGUGCUUACAUAGAUUUGAACAUCUAAUCUUUUGAUUGGAGUGAAAUUAUAGUUCUUAUAAAUGGUUGUUUGUAUUGUGAUAGCCUCCUUGAAUAAUUAAAAGAAAAAAAAUGCAGGCACUGUCGAAUGGAGCGUACAAGAGCUGUCUGCAUAGGGCAGUGGUGAACAGGAAGAGAGAGAGAAGGUCAUUGGUGUUCUUUGUGUGCCCAAAAGAUGAUAAAGUGGUGAGACCCCCACAAGAUUUGGUGGGCAGAGAAGGGCCAAGACAGUACCCUGAUUUCACAUGGUCAGAGCUUUUGGAGUUUACACAAAAACAUUACAGAGCUGAUGUUGCUACACUCCAAAGCUUUGUCCACUGGCUUCAAGCUAAACCUCACCCUCCAAAAAUUCCAUUUUAAAUUUAUUUAUAUAUAUAUAUAGAUAUAUAUAUUAGAAUUUCCCGUCUUUUUUCUUAGUUUGUUCUUAUUCUUCUUAUUCUCUCCUCUUACCGCUGUCCAAUGCUUUGUCCUUCUCUUUGUUUCUAUCUAUAUUUUAUUUACAAGCUCUCUUGCCUAAAUGCUAAUCAUGCUGCUGCCUUUUUGGCACUUUUAUGCCUUUCUUUCUCUCUGUUUUUCCCAUUCUUUUGCUGCUAUAUGUUUAUAAUAUGCAUUUUUAACUGUUCAACCCACUCGUCUUUAUAUAUAUAUAUAUUGGUUAAUUUUUCUGCACUUUUUCUAUGUACCUUCUUUAAACUUAUAAUUCUUUCAAGAAAAAAUGUGAGAGCAUUAGUGCUGAUGAAAUGAGGGAGGGUGGUAAUAUCCCUUGGUUGGGUAUGUAUGUUAUUGGUGUGGUGAUGGUUGAUUGAAAUAUGUAGUAAAGCUUACAAAAACUAGAUAAAAUGAUCAACAUGAACAUAAUUCAACUAGUUGAGUUAUCGAUUCUUGUUUCUAUAUGAUAAACAUUUCAAUCUUCAACUCGAUGAAAAAUGCAUGUUUAUUGAUAUUCAUUAAUUAUUAUUAAAAAUUAUUUUAUUUAUAUUCUUACUUAAACAACAUUUUAAAACAAAAAUUAUAUAAAUAAAGUUUGUUAUUGUUUUUAAAAAUAUAUCCUUAGAAAUUGUUUUUGUAGUAUUUAUUUUUAAGUUUAGAAAAUGUAUAGGAAGAUUUUUACCACUUGGAUAAAGUUUAGGGGCUACCCAAAGGUCGAGUUGGACCACAUUCAUUCAAAACAUUUUUAACAACUAGAUAGCCUAAAUAGAACCAAUUUGAACAUAGCUUAGUGAAAAAUUGUUGGGCAAAAGAACCAUGCCCAUGAUUUAGAUUGAAGAACUUGGGAAUAGCCAUCUCGAGAUAUCUUCUCUAACACAGUAGACUUACUUGUACAGUUUGAACAGUAUGAAUCCAUCAUUUUUAUCCUUUAUGUCAAAACAGAUGGCACAAGCAAAAGCAAACAGAGAUGGCGGUAAAUGCUUCGAGCAAACACAAUGAUUUCAUAUGCCAAAAUGCCAUAAAACUUAACAUGCACAAAGAAGGUAAAGGGAAUUGUAUGUUCUAACUCACUUUAAAAACUGAAGUAAUAUAAGACUGUUACAAGUAGAUGAACAAGUUUUUAUAAAUUAAAUUUUGACAAGGAAAAUAAUCUCAAACAUGUUUCCUUUUACAGCUUUCUGGUAUUGCGUAAACAUAACUGCAGCGCAGAUCCCUCUGACUCUUACGGUGUAACUUUUGAGAGAGUAUCCUAUCCUCGGCCACAUACUUGGUCUCGAACACUAAUUUACAAUGCAACUCCUUAUACAAGAGAAAAUUUACAACAUUCCUCUUUCAAUGAAACACCCAUUUGAUGUGACAGAGAAAGAGAGACUUGUAUCUUAACCCAUGUUUGUUGGUUCAUCUUCCUCAGCAGUUUUCAAACUGUACAGUACAAGUAUACUUGUAGAUUUUGGAAGUUAUUUUUUGAUGGGGGUACUAUAUUCAUAUAGCCGUUAUUAACUAACUUCAAUGAUAAGAUACCUUAAGGGGUGAUGACGAAGUAGUUUAUAUUAACUUAGGCAUAUAGUCUCAAGCGCAUCUUUAUAGGUUCUCGACACAACGGGCACGUUGAGAUAGUUACACCACAAUCCUUGCAGGUCUGGUAAGAAAACAACAAAAGAAUUGUACGCAAAUAUUCAUGAGUGUCUUGGCCAAGUAAUACGAAUAUGAAACCAUUCGAACAUUUUUUAUUCCAUUAGAAAAUAUUAGUCAAACAUUAGCACUGUUAGAAAGUUCAAUGGUAGAGAACUUACUGUAUGACCACAUGCAAAAGCCAUGUCCUUUGGGUUUGUGAGGCAUAUGGGGCAGACCUUGAACAAGUGACAUUUAAUUUAAAUAAUUUAUAUUAAUGAAGUCAUGAAACAAAAGAGAAACUUUUUUUGUUUCAGUAGACAAGGCUCUCACAACUUGUUGCCUUAAUCAAUCUUAAACCCCAAGAGUACAACAAAAUUUCCCUAGAGUAAUUGUAAAGCCACACAUGUUUGGUUCUCUCAUUCUUAGAAAACUCCAUAAAUAAAAUAAAAGCGAAGUUACCGAUUCAGAUGAGGAACUAUGUUUUUCAGCUUUUGAAUUCUCCAAAAUUUGGUUUGCAACUGCAUUGUCAUGAUUGAUGACUUCAGGAGGAGGAGGAAGUGGCCCUGCACUUUUUCCAUAUACAGAUUCUCUCCUGAUAAUAGUGUGUGUUAUUUUUCCAAACCCAAAACAGAAAUUGUUACGAAAUCAACAAAUUAAGAAAGCGAGAAAGUGUAAACAAUAAAGAUCAACAUAGCUAUAUCCACGGGCUGAGGAAGAGAGUAGUUUUAUUAAGCUAUUAACAGAGAAAAUAUGAGAUAAUACAAAUUACAUAAACAUCAAUAGGGUUUGAGAGUUUUUAUGACAACUAUUUGAACCUUGGGCUUAAAAUCCUAAAUAACACAUAACACAAUCACAAUGUAGGCUAAUUCACUUGGUUAAUCAGAAUGCCAAAUAACAAACACACGACAUUUCAACUGUUCAAUUGAAGUUGAAAAUCCUGGCUUACUUUGAAUUUGGCAAGGAGAGGGUGGCUCUGUAUUGAAAUGGAAUUUCCAUGAGUGCGGCCAAGGCAAAUGCUGCUUCCUUCUUUGACGCUUCUGUGCUCUCAGACAUGAUCUUUGUGAAGUUUACAAACUGAAUCAAUAGAGAGAAGCCGUGAAGUUACACACUGAACCAAAAACAAUUGAACACCCAUGUUUUCUUUUUGACAACCAUGAGAUGGAGUUUUUCUCUAAGUGGUUUAUGGAUAACCCUCAACAUUAAAUGAAGUACAUAGAAUAUAGAAAAGAUACUGCCGUAAGAUUGAAUAUUCAAGACCAUUUCAUACCUUCCUCUUAACAAAAACUUCUUAUUGAACAAAAAUGAAAGAACACAUGCCCACAAAAAAAGAGCUCCAACCAUGCAAAAUAGUCCGUAAGACCAUUCCAUACAAUGAAAAACACAACCACACAAGUAGAUUCAAUGAAAUAUUAAUCAAGUACCUGGAAAUUAUCAAAUGCACGCUGAGGCAGGUUAUCAUCAAAUUUAUGCAUAGCAUCCCAAGGUCCAUCCCCCACCCCGAUUAGAAUUAUCGACAGAGGAUAAUGGCUGGAGAUUCAAAUGUUAUGAGACUUCAAGCACAGAAGCUACUGAACUUAAUAAAAGUUAUUGUUUGACUUUUACCUUGCAGCAACAAUGGAGUUUAUGGUUGCCUGCUCUUGAAAACUUAAUUUACCAGGUGGUGUGUUAGGAUUUCUAGUAACCUGUUCAAUAUUAUACAAUUUUAAGCCUUAAGAGAAUGAAGCAUAAAUGAGAUAGGGAGAAAUAAAAGAUAAUACAAACAGAGCACAUCCAACAACCUGUCCAUCUGCAAUAAUAACAAGGACGUGAUACUGCCAAUUGCUUUUCUCAACAAUGCCAAUCGCAGCAUCUAUAACAGGAGCAAACGAGGUUGGACCUACAUAUAUAAGGUUGAGUAAAUUGUUAGGAUCAUUAUAACUUAGGAAGAAGAAAUUACAUUAACCGGGAAAGCACUUUGAAAAGUAUCCACAGAUAGCAAUUUAAACAGAUGGUAAAUAUAGAGCUGGAAAGCUCCUCAAAUAAUAUAAGUAAACAUAGAAUUAACAAUUACUGAAAUAAGCCUCACUAAGCUAAGAUUUAAUAUCCCAAAGGCGUCCUUCUCAACAGCCAUUUUCCACUAACUAGAGCUGCUAAAACAUGCUACCACCAAUUAACAAAACUAGUUCACUUUGCAAACAGGGAAGCUCCCCAUAUUGUUCUUUCACCUUAACGAAUGCCUCAACUGGAUCAAACUUCUUGAACAAUUUCCUUGCAAUACCUCUAAAGAUAUCUAAACUUACUAUUCAAGGGAUUGCCUCAUCUUAAAUUAUAAGACUUAACUAUUCAAGGGAAUGCAUUUUGUCAAUCUCAAUGAACAGAAUCAACUCAAGGAAAUAUCUAAACUUACUUAUCAUACGAGAUUAAGAAAAUGAAUAUGAUGUUGCAAAUCAAAAUCAAAUAUCUUUCUAUAUUCAAUGUCCUCACUCAUCCAUAUACACAAUAGAAAAGGAAAGUAAAGAACUGAUGGAAGUAACCACAGAAAUUAUUACAUUUUUGUCCCAAUCAGAGGCAGCUUAUUUAAAUUCUAAAACCAUAGGCAAAAUGCCGUUUUUGUUGUAUGGAUGACACAUAUGGUCAACAUAUGGAACUAAUAUUAUUGAAGUUAUCAAUUGACGGAAUUGAUAAUAUCAACACAAGUCCCCCAUUGACAUAACAGUUGCAUGAUAAAGUUAACAAAUGGAUACCAAAAGUUAGCUCUGCAUCAUGAUUGAUAUUGCAAUACAUGGUGAUAAAUAGAAAAACAAACAUUUAACUCAAAAGUUCAAAUGAACCUGAUAAAUUAAGGUACGGCAGAAUUUCUCUAUAUCGAAAAAGUGCUUCCUUGAAGCCUUUACAUGGCCUAUGAUCUGGAUAAAAGCUGAAUACAUGCUGAUCACAUGUUGAUGCUUCAGAAAAAGAAGUUGAAAAUAAGGUAGUUAGGCAAGAGAAAAAGUUGUUACUAACACUUCAACAAAGGAUCUAAAAGAACUAAUACUAACCAUCACCAAAACCGAAACAAGGUAUCAAGCCAUCAUCAUCAAAAGGAGACAAUGUGUGACCAAUAAUAGAAAUUGCUUGCUCAUAUGGAUUUGGUGUACUGCUAACUGAAUGCAAACUUUUUCUUCUGAAAGAAUACCUGCCUGCAGUCAGACAAAUGUAACUUCUAGUUAUCUGUGAAGCAUUCAUAACCUUCAUAACAAUUGUAGAGUAAAUAAAGAUUCACCUGUCCACUCAUUACUCUUUGUAAAGUCGAUACCAAGAAUUAAAUUUGAUGAUUCAAGACCUUCGUGUCUCAAUGCAGAUAUAACCUGAACGAAGUUCAUGUAUUUCCAGUAUGCAAUACUUGUGUGAAUGUCUGCUUGAGGGUACGGUGACAUUCAUAUUGAUAAUAAACAAAAGAGAAAAUAUAAAGACUGACUUUCAAAUAUUUAGGCAGAAUUAACGUACAGAAAUUAACUGUUAACAUAACAGUUUAAUGUUUAAAAGAACUUCAAAUAGGAAAAUAUUGAAUUGAGCCGAGUUAGAAAAACUUCUAAACUCAAGAAAUUCUCUGUAACUGUUAUGUCUACAUAUUUUAAGAAUAUCGAGAUCUCUCCUCGUGAAAAGUUGGUUAGAAGAUCUCAAAAGCACACAACUUCUUAUCUCAUCAACUUUAUUGGGAACCUUCUAGUAAGGAGGUCUUAAAGUUAAAGCUGUUUAAAACACUUAAUAAUAAAAUCUCAUUCUUUCUAUCUCAUUCCUUCUAACAAUGCCCCUAAGCUACUUUAUGGAGAAGUCCUCUGUAAAUCCAGUUUCACCCUCCACAGUCUAUAUAUUACCGGCAUAGGAUGAAUCUUGCUUCUACUUCAUCCAUUUUCCUUCCUUUUAGCAUACCCUAACUUAUCAUCUCUAAUAACAAAAUUUAUACGAUACUUGGAUGGAGGAAUAUAUAAAAGAUGUUACCAAUUACAAUUACAAUUACUAACUCCAUGGCUUUAUGAGAGGUCUAGAAUCUUCUUAGAUUUCACUAAUUACCUGACCAGCAAGACUAUCUGGAGGGGCGUGAGAGAAUCCUGACUAAGAGAUUUGCUAAAUGUAUCACAUUAUUUUAAUUUUGUGUGAGAGUGUCGCAUUUAUUCAACUAAACAUUAAGCCUAUUCUACUAAAUGCAUUAUGUUCAAUAAAUAUCCAAAAGUUCUUCCUUAGAGAUCCUCCUUCAAUGUCUAAACAACCAAGACGCUAAGUUAUUCUAACCAAAUGAUGACAAACAGUUAAUAUGUAACUGGAAAGUUUCCAUUGGUGAUUUCAUGCAUAUCAACAAUUAUUUUUACACAUAGGAAACAGGGGACAUCAAUGAUCCAAAGCCAAAACAAAAUCGACAGUGUAUAGGCCAUAUCCCUAAGGAUGAGGAUUUGUAAGUCUAAACAGAGGAAUCAAACAAAGAGCCUCAAAUCUAAGUUGAUCAGAAAUUUGGGAGUAUUUUAGAAAGCUUAAAUGGAGGUUACGUAUGCUCCAAGUAAAUGGUAUUAUGCGGAUAAUAGCAUAAAAGAGCUGGCUUAGUACUGAAUUGUCCACAGAAAGCAUAGAACAUACAGACGAAGAGAAAUAAAUAUAAAAGACGUUGCAUUGUAUUUGGCAUAAUAGGUCAAGUCAAAACCACAAUGGAAUGAAGUAAUCUGAUCCACGUAACAAUACUUAGAAAAAUCAAUCAAGUCAGGCAAAAAAGUUAAGUGGGAUUAAAUUUAAUUAGAAUUUAGAAAGAAAACAAUUUUUUGUUCUUGAACAUAAUUUUCAUGGGAAGGGCCAUUGCUAAUCUUAAUCUCAAUAAAAGUCCAAGACCGAAAAAGGUAAUGAAGUAUAAAUAAUAUAGAUUUUGUUCAGCAUACUUUCAAACAUAGAAAUAAUCAGCAAGAAUAAAAGAGAGAACCUGAUCCAAUGAGCUGAAAUUAUCAGCAAUAUACCGGUAGUCUAUUUUCCGAUGACGAUCUGAAUCCAUCUAACUCUCUGCAUACAAAAAGGUUUAAGCAAGUUCUCAUUUAAGUUAUUAUAAUACAGUAACUCCAGAUUCCCCAAUCUCAAAUGUGCUGUUCAAGAACGGUAAAUGUACAUUUAAGGAGCAACUAGGACAUAAGAAUCAAUUAGCUAGGAUGCCUUUUCCUCUAAACUUGUUAAAGUCAAAUCAUUCAAACUUGCUAAAUGAAACAUUGAAAAUCUAUGAUCAUCCCAUAAACAAAAACCCCCAGCUCGAUUCAUAACUUCUAAAAGGGAAAAGGUCGCAUGAUUGAAGCAGAUAACACAAACCAGUAACUAAAAUUGGCGAAAAUGCAACUGGGUAUCUUAAGUAAGGGGGUGAAUUGAAUUCAGAGCUCUAUAUUGAGCAGACCCAGAAGACAAAUCAAGUCAUGGAGGGCCAAAAUGAAGUAAAUAGAAGAAAAAAAGAUGAGUUGAAUUCAGUCGAAAGCAUAAAUAAAUGGUUUAAAUGGAAUAACAAGUAGCAACUCACAGAGAGCAGAAGGGAGAAAGGGGAGGUUUUGUUAGGAUGGCCUGCAAGGGAAAGAGAUACAAAAAGAGAAGAAGGUCAAAAGGGAAGCUGAAAUGGUUCUGAAUAUGGGGAUAUUAAUGGAUAUUUUGAAGAGAUUCCUUCUCGUGUUUGUCAUCUCAGACUUUAAGGAAAAGGUUCGUUGUUAAUGCGUGCACCCAACCCAUGUUCAAAUGGUGUAAAUCCACAAACUUUCCACCUUUUUUUAAUGGAUGAACUGCAGCAGCAUGUCUAUGAAAUAUAUAUAUAUAUAUAUUGGCGGUGGGCAAUUCAUCCUCUUAAUUGGGAGUUGACAAGCUAUGAUCUCCCAACAGGUUAUAAAGAAUAAUUAUCUAAAACUUUAAUAACCUAUACUCCGUUAAUAUAUUAGAUAACACAAACUAUUAUAAAUGUAAUCAAAUAAAAUAACAUUUUUUUUAUUUUAUUUAAAAAGUAUCUUAUGUUAAUUUAAAAUAAUUAUUUUUCAUUUGUUUUUUUUCAUUAUUAAACUUAAAUUUAAAUAUCCAGUUUAAAACUAUUAUAAAUUAAUUAAUAGAUGAAAGUGAAUAGGUAAAUUUUGAAAUCAAAAUUGUGAUGAAAAUAUUUAUAAUAUAGUAAAUUUUUACUUUCUAUUGGUAAGAUAAAUAGUAAUAAAUCCAAAUAGACAUCUCUCUAUCUAUCACGAAAAUAGAAAGUAAUAUUUUUUUUUACAUUUAUAAAUGAGUUAGUAUACAUUUUGGUUAUAUUAAAAAACAUGAUCUUUUGAAACAAAACUAUGGAAUAAAAUAAUUCUCAAAAUCGAAGAUUCUAUUUCUCUACGGGAUAUAUUUAGAGUCUAAUUAUAUCAUCAAUAUUAUUAAAGAUAGAUUUUAUAUUUCAUUAAAACACAGUAUGUACACAUCAUUUAUAUUUGAAAUUUUUAUUAUAAUUUAUGAUAAUAAAAAAUAAAAUAAAUAAAUUUGUAGUAAACAAGUAUGGCUUUUAAUUGGUUUAUUUCUUAAUUGUUUUUACUUCAAUGACAUAUGAUGAUAAGAUAUUUGAACACACCUAAACUCAAUACUCUUAUUACUUAAAGUAGUGGUUGAAUUAGCAUGGUAAGAUAAUUAGGUUAAGUUUAACUAACCCCUAAUUAUUAAGAAGAAUAAUUAAUACGUCAAAUUGGAAUGAUGUCUCUAAUAUUUUACUUGUUCAAACUAUAAUUUUAAUAAAAGUAAUCAGUUUUAUUUGCCAAUAAUUAUUAUUUUAAAAUAAUUACUUUGGAAACGUAAUAAAAAAAAAUUACAUUGCCUCAAUAAGAUCUCAUCAGUUUAUAAUAAAUUACAACUAUAUCUAAUGAUACGAGGAUUUUUAGAGUAGAAUCAUAAAAUUUUAGAGGCACUUGCAAAUAUGACAAAAUAAGUUAUAAUAAUUAAGUCUAUAGCACAUAUACUUUAUUAUUUGUGAAAAUGACAAAAAAUAAAGCCUAAAAUAGCUAAACUAAUUUACCACCCAAUACAAUUUCCUAAAAAAUUUUAUGGUCAAUAUAGACAAUAUUAUAACGCUACAAAAAGCCACAGUCAAACAAUUUACCUAAUAUAUUUUAAAGAAGAAACAAAAAAUACAAAACAACCUCUUCCUCGCUUGGAAUGUUUUCUUCUAACGAAAAUAUAUUAAAAACGAAGCAAACUAGCUACCACCAACAAACAAAAAACGGUCGCUCACUUACAAGAAUAAAAAUGUAAUAUUAUUUGAAAAAUAUCUUUCUAAUUUCUAGAAUCGAGAAGAUCAUGUAGAGGAUGUUAAAGAUGUUAGAUUAUGAGCAACUCUGUGAAAACUUUAGAAAAGUGAAAGAUAUUUACGAAUGCAACAAAAAUCAUUUCAAAUGUACUAAGAUUAUAUUCUUAUAACAUUGCAAAUAUAGUUUAGCUCGACAACUAAACGAUAAUAGGAGGGGCUAAGAUGAACCUAAAGUAUAUAAUAUAAAUAUACAUCCCCACUGCUAGCUACAAAGUAGUAAUAAAAAAGGUGCAUAAUUGUGAUUAUUGAUAAUUCAAACAACCUUUUGACUUUAGAAUUAAAAACUUAAGAUGCUUUCUUGCAGUACAAACUAGUUAAAAUAAGACGACUAAGUAACCUAAAAUGAUUUUACUUUUUUUUCUUUAAUUUAUAAAAAUCCAUAAUUAGUACACACACAUUUAAAUGUUGUAAUUAUUUACAACUUGCUUUAUAUUUAAGGUAGUUGGCAGGACUUGAUUUUCACAACUUGCUUUAAAAGUUAACAACUACAGUAGUUGAUAAUACUUUAUAUAUGGGUUUUAGAAAUGGAUUGAGAUGUAUUUUAUCAGAUGAAUUCAACUUGGUUGGAUUUAGUUAUAAGCUUAUAGAUUUGCUUUUUGAUAUAUUAAUUAAUAAUUUGAAUCAAAACAAACUAACUAAAAAUAAUUAAAAGUAGUUCCUACGUUUUUAUUGAAGAUAAUAUUUGAAUUCUUACUAAAAUUUUGAAAACUCUCUUUAUAAUAUUUUGUAAAAAAAGUAUUAUUAUUUAAAAUAAUUUUCCAUUUAUAAAUUUGUUAAUCUUUGGAACAACGUUAAGCAAUAUAUUUAAGGAAGAUGAGAGUAAGAGAAAACAAACCCAAACUAUAGAUUUCAAAAUCGUAUAAGGUGGAAAAGGAAGAUGAGAGUAAGAGAAAACAAACCCAAACUAUAGAUUUCAAAAUCGUAUAAGGUGGAAGCUUGAGAUUUUCAAUUUCAUUCAAAAGCACCUAAGAAGAUCAUAUAUUUAACCCAAAAACUUGAAUAAAUAUUGCAAUUACUCCCAUACAUCUUUAUAAUUAUUUAAAAAUCAUGUGCAUUUAAUUAAUACACACAUGUACGUGACAGGUGUAAUAGUAGUAGGAGGACACAAACCAACCUAGUUUCAUCAACUUUAUUAAAUUCGUGAAUUUAAGAUAUUGAGUUUGAAAAGUACUUUUAAUCAUUACAAAGAAAAUUAAAAGCAAAAUAAAAAGGAAUUUAGCAACCGUAGUUAAUUGAUUUGAAGUUGCAAAAGAUGAAUUGAAGAAGAAUGUAUACGAUUUUUCAUUAAUAACUAUUUGAGUAUCAUAGAGUACAAGGAAAACUGAACAAAAAGCCUUUGAAGAAGGAAUAGGUUGCAAAGUAGAAGGAAAAAUGAAUUACACUCAAAGGCCUAGAUGAGAUGAGAUGAGAGAUGAGAGAUGAGAGAUGAGAGAUGAGAGAUGAGAGAUGAGAGAUGAGAGAUGAGAGAUGAGAGAUGAUACACUCUGCCUAAUUACGAAGUAACCAUUGGCAUAAUAUUGAAACUUUGAAUAACAAAAAAGAAUUUUGACCUAACCUUUCCCCUCCUUUGCCCAACUAAAGUAAAGUGGGAACUGGAAGAUGAUGAUACUGAAGACACCCAUGGCCUCCCCCUCUAAGCAAUUGCAUAUUGGAGUGUUUCCGAUUCACUUGGUCGCCACAUCGACUUCUGAACGCACAGCAAUGCUUCAUUGUCUUUGAAGUAAGUAAAUCGAACCUCCCAUUUCAUUGACUUGAACAUGCUUUCGAGCUCAUUCACUGUUUCUGAGUUGUCCCGAACUAUGAGUUUCCCGUCUGGUCGGAGGAUCCGGUCAGUCUCUGCAACUAAAGCGGCUAUAUUGCACCUGUUUGUGUCCAUUGAGUUAAGCACUUAGUUUAGAUUGGAGCCCAGGAAAGGAGUGAUGAAUGAUGGAGUUAAUGUUAAUGUAGUAUGCUGAACUCACCUUGUUUUGACCUUGGAGAAAAGAUGAUCUGCGUGAAGAAGGUCGUAUGACCUCGGGUAGGUGUUGAAUGAUUCGCACCAGUCGUGAUAUAUGCCGAAUAAACCUCGUUCGAAGAUGAUUGGGAGAGUAUCAGCAGAGUCUAUUGAGACAACGUUCAUAACCCAUACUUUCAAAUUUUUCAAUGCAGCAGCAAAUCUGUGAGGAAGUGAAGAACUAUUCAUAUAUACAAAGAAAAAUGAAGAAUGUUGUAUUUGAGUGAUAGAACCUAGCAAAAGUGUGUCGAUGUCUUUACACAGUAUGUUUUCUAUUUUUAUCAUUUGUCGAUUUACCAGUAGAGCAAUUCAUCCUAACAACUAUAAUAUUACACAACUCAACCUAAAGAAGACGGAAGUAACAGGUAUGAAAAAGUUAAUUGGCAAUGACAUAAAUAUGAUGAUAGCUAUAACUUGAAGUAUAUUUCCUGUGAGGGGGAAGGAGAAUCUUACCCUCCAUAGACAGCUCUCAUGUCCAUGACAUUUCGCACAGUUGACCAGUCGAUUCCCAUGCCAGAUAGAUAUGACUUUGUCACGACCCGAUUCCAGUGUUUAUGAUCUGCAGUGAAAUCCUCUGGAGCAGCUCUUCCAUAAACUCCAACCUGAGAAUCCAACAACCAGUAUGGUGGCUUCUCCAACCUUGAUGGCCAUUGCUCUGGCCAUUUAGAACCACGCUCUGAUUCAUUUGUCGAGAUUUUGUGCAUGCAUGCCUGGAGUGGCACGUUCCUGCAGAAGGUUUGAACAAAUUCAGUAGCAGCAACAGAGCUAUAAAUUUGUUUUUUAAAUAAGUAUUGCAUUUGGGGAAAGAAAAUCUGUCUUGGUUUUACAUUCUAAAUUUGUCUAAGCUUAGCUUAGAAAUAAGAGAAUGAACAAGAAGGCAUAUAUGAAGGGGAAUGAUAAUGGACCGAGGCUCAUUAUUUAUUGAAUCCUUAUUCCUAGAAAUUGGGUCUUGGAUAAAUGAAAGUAAAAAAUUUCUUAACUGGGGAAAUUAAAAUCAUAAAAGAUAAGUACCAUGCUGCACUUGGAUCAUCCGAAUCAGGGCAGAGAGGCGGCUCUUUUUCAUAUCUCUGCUCAUAGCAAUCAUUAUUAGUAGGUUUCCUAUAUAUGGCUGCACUAACGCCAUUCACUGUAUCCUUGUUAAUCGAUAUAAGUUCCCAGCACAUUGCUUUCGUCAGCUCUUUCAUGGCUGCAAAAUGGUUCCACCACAUACAAAGCUAUUAGAACUCUAAUUUUUUGAAGCUCUCUGGUUUAACAUGUAAAUUUACAGCUUAAAUUUUCAAAGGAUAAUAUGGGUUUAAAAAUUGCCAACCGUUCCAUAUUCCAGCAUCUUCAGCAUUCUUCUGAUAGACUGGUGUAGCAGACCACACGAAGAAGCCACCAGGCCGCAACAAACGAUUUAGCUCCAACAGAAGUUUGCCACCUGCACAGUUUCUUCAGAAGUGAGCAUUGAAACACGAGCUAUUCACAAAAUGUUUUACUUCAGUCACUGAUAUGAUGAAGUACCAUAUGAUAUAUCAAAGUGAUCGUGGUUCCAACAAUAGAAAUUUAACCAAAAAUCACAAGAAUUGAGAGAAAGUAUUGACUCAGACGUAUUAAUCAGCACAUUACCUUCUAUGUGCCAUGGUACCCUACAACGAGCACAAUGGACAACAUCAAAAACUCUUCCUGGGUAGGGAAGUCUUUUUGUGCCCAUAACGGCAGAUAUAGCGGGAAUUCCCCUCUCAAGUGCAAACUGGACUUGUGCUUCAUGUUCAUCUUUUGGUGCCAAUGACAUGGUUAGUACGUCUCUUUCAAAAAGAAAUCCUCCAAAGCUGGCCACCCCACAUCCAACAUCCAGAAUUACACGUGAUUGUUUUCCCCAAGCGAGGUCAUUGACAGACUGCAUCAGUAAGAAAAAUUGUGCAUUUGCAAAAGGUUAUCAAGCAUAAAUCACAAAAUGUUGUUCUUCAGUUCAAUAAGUCUAUAAGACUACAGUCAUCUUCGUCUAUCAUUGGAUUGCAUGAAAUUGUAUACAUUAACAAAAUCACUCAAAAAUGUUUUCCAAAGAAGUAGUCGGAAACUAAAAAGAUCAGAAUGAUCAUAUAAAUAUAUACACCAUUAGCGUCGUUGGUCAAUUAUCAAUAUCAUACAACAAGACUUCCUCCAAUCCAAAGCAUCAAUAACAAAGACUUCAUCAAAUAAGAACUUUUCUUCCCUAAAAAUAGAAAAGAAAAAAAAAUUGCGAGCUUUCCAAAUGUUACUAAUAACUAAUUUUUUGUGUUUGGUAAUGUUCUAAAUUACACCUCUUCGUGUAAACACAGAGGAGGGUGGAGGUGCAAUCUGUCAAUACGGGGGGUAGGCUAAUAUCGAGGUUGAUCAAUAUCCCUGAGUGAGUUCCAGCUAGAAUGCUAAUGAUAAACUUGAAUUUGUGAAAUAAAGCUGUGGUGGAGGACGUAGAAUAGAUAAAAGAUAAACCACCAAUGGUAGAGACGGUAAUGUGGAAACCAAAUGAGCAUGUUAACAUAUUAUACUAACAGGGCUCAAGGAAAGGAAUGUUACCUCCUGUAUGAAGUCAAUAUAGUGAAGAGCACCGUGCUUGAACUGGGUCCCACCACCAGGAAAUGUUAAGUACUCACCAGAAACCUUAACCCAAUUUUGAUGUCCCUUAACUUCAGCAAGUUUUGUGUGGGGAACAUUAUAGUACCAUAUCUGCAGAAACACACUCAAUUAGAACAUCAAAGGAUGGAAGGGAAAAAAAUAAAAAGCUGAACCUAUAAGACGCAUUUUCUGAAUUAAAAUUGUUAGAUCUCUUUAACCUUUUCCCUGCUAGUUGGCCAUGCAAUUGGGCGUCUGUAGCCCUCUGGAAGUGAAACAAGGCAGGUGGGAGGUUCUUCAGGACAAUGCCUCUCUCGAUGUUCAUAAUGUUUUGUACUUGGAAGACUCCUAAUUGCUUGCAAAUUGUCGAGGCAAGGAAUGUAAUCUGAUCCAGCAGUAACGUUGCAAAGUUUCCACACGUACCCAGAUUGUUUCGUGGAAGAUCUUUGAGUCUCUUUUUCAUUCUUUGACUCUGCUGCUUGAGUUGACCAUGCCCCAUUUUGUGUUGAUGUUUCAUUCAAAAGCUCCGACUGAGCACCAGAAGGAAACUCUUCACUAGUUUUGGAUUGGUUAUUUUCAUUUGUGUCAUCAGUACUUUUUUCUUCUUGCUUCACAUUCUCUCCUUCCUGACCGUUAUUGUUUUCUCCAUCUUUAGUAUCAUUUGAGUCAUCUGUUUUUUUCUCCUCGUCCUUUUUCUCGUCUGUAUCAUUUGAAUUUGAUUGUUUCUCAUUAGAAUUCUCCUCAGUAUCUCCUUGUCCACCAGAUCCAUUGUCACCACCCUCGGGCUUAGAUUCAGAACCUUGUUCUCCAUUUUCCUCCUUAGAAUCACCAUCUUCUGUUUUUCUACCAUCAUCUGGUUUAGUUUCCUCAUUCCCUCCGUUCUUGUCCUCAUUCUGUUCUUCGGACUUCUCUUCAAGCUUCUCUUCAGGCUUCUCUUCCGGUUUCUCUUCCGGUUUUUCUUCUGGCUUCUCCUCUGGCUUAUCCUCGGGCUUCUCCUCAGGCUUCUCUUCCUGAUUUUCCUGCUGACUAGAACCUUCAUUGUCGUCCCCUUUCCUUGCAUCGUCAGGCAAAUCUCCUGGAUUAUCUUCAAAAGGCUGAGUUUUUCCCUCAUUGGUCUCAAUCACCUGACUUUUUGCCAGAUUUUUGUUCUCCUGUGGCACAUCAAUGUUUUGAACCGGAACUACAGAUGAUGACGUUAACAUCCAUAUUCCAACCAAACACAAAGCAACGAAUACAACAAUGGUCACUGUUGAGCAAUAACUCGACGACGACCUUCUGUUAUCUACUCUCGAAUACUUUCCCAAUGCCAUUUCUAAUUGUAACGUUAUAUCCUAACGAGUUUGCACCUGAAAAUGGAAAGGGAAUAAACAGAUUAGUCGAUUAGAAAAAGAAGAAAAAAACGUAUCAAUUAGUUGAAUACACAAAGAUCACCGACAGCCUGCAUUCAUACUAGCAAAAGAUAUCAUGAAAAGUGAAACUUGGUCCCAAAAGCCGUUCAAACAUCAACGUCAAAUAAACAAUUAAAAGUCCGAAAUACAGAAAUUCAACUUAAGAGAAAUGUAUCACAAAUCUGACUAAAACACUAAGAAAAGUAUUCAAGGAAGAAAAAUCAGCCAAAAUUCACGGCACAAUUUCCGCAAUCAAACACUCACUGAAGUGGUGACAACUGACAUAGACAAUGAAGAUCAAGUAAAUCAACUUCGAUACACAUUAAAUCAUAUAAAGCAAUGAUUUAGUACAUCCAUACAAAAUAAGGUCGAUCCAGAACAGAGCACAAAAACAAAUAUCACUCGCAUAAACAAAACCCAAAAACCACGUAAAGUUAUAAUGAAAACACAACAUCAUUCACUCACGUACAAUGAAACACAACAAGAACAUAAACAAACUCCAUCAGAUCUACAUUCAAUCAGCAGAAAAACGACUAAAUCAGACACCAAUGCGAACCGAAACAGCAACAAAGAACCAUAAUUAACCAAUAACCAAAUUAGAUCUACACUAAAAACGCGUAAAAAAUGAAAAAGGCAACAAAAAAACAGGAGCAAAAAAAAAAAGCUAAAAUAUGCUGAAUGUAAGAAGGAAAGAAAAAAGAGGAUAAUGAACAAGAUCUAAGCGAUCUAAACAGGCAAGAGUAAACAACAGCGCGAUAGCUUACCUAGAAAAGAACAGAUCUAGAAAAGAAAGACAGAAAAAGGGGAUUGAAACUAUUCCUCCAUUUUUCUCCGGCAGCGCAGAGAGGAUGAAAUGUAAUGGUGGAAGAGCGAAUGAAGGGGGAGAGGAGAUUUAAUAGAGAAGAAGAGAGAGCAAGAAGAAUUGUAGCUGGUGGAAUUUAAUUAAUUCAAAAAUUAGUUUAAUUUAAUUACAUGAUUAAUUUUCUAAUCAUAUUCCAGUGUCCAAAAAACCGACCUUUAGAAAUGGCUAACAAAAUACGCGGUGAGGAGAAAGAGAGAGACACGCGCGCGCGUUCUACGGAAUAACGGUGGAAACUUUGAGAGGGAGAACCCCUGCGCGUGUUCUUCACACGCAGUAGAUUGGAUGUGGGUGAAUGACAUGUGGCAAUCCCUAAUUAAUCCCAGCUUUCUUUAUUUAAUAUUUUUUCUUGCUUUUUUUUUUUUAUUUUUUAUUUUAGUUCUCUAUAUAUUUAUUUCAAAAGUCAAAAAAUAAAUAUAAAAAUUCUUAUGCAUUAUAAUUAUUUUUCUCUUUCACUCAACCAUCGCCAUAUUGAUGUUUUAGCUAAUUGAUUUAUGAAAGAUGGAAUUGAUGAAUUUGAUUAUUCAUUCAUUUUUAGAUUUCGUAUUUAACCAUUUUACAAUAAAUAAUAAUUAUUUGUUAUGUUUGAAAUUUUAUUAUAUUAGAAUAAAAAAUUAAUGGUUGUAGAACUUAUCCAACAUUUUCCAAAUUUAAAAAUAAAUUGUUUGAUGAACAAAUGUAAAUUUCAAAUCAAUGAUGUAAUGAAAACGUAGUUAUAUUUAAUGGGUUUCAGUUGUAUUUGGUAAUUGUUUGAGAAAUUGUAUUUUGACUUAAACAAUUUUGUAUUGGAUAUUAUAUUUAUAAAUGAUCAUUUAUUUAAAUUACUCACUCGUGAUUUGAUUUUUUUAAUUAUUGUUUUGUAAUAUCAUAUAAGAAUUACAUAAUAAAUAUUAUUUUUUUAAAAAUAAAGGUGGGAUUUUUGUAAAAAUAAAAUAUUAUAUUUCUAGUUACUUUUUAAAUUUUUAAUAUAAUUCAUCAGUUUGAAAAUUUAUAAUUGAAAUGUUGGGUGUAAUUGAGAUUGUUUGUUAAAUACAUAUUUAUUGUACACGAUAAAUAUAAAUUUAUAAUUUUUAUUGGUCGAUAUAAUUUUUAAAAUUUUUCUGAUCUAAACUUCAAAAUCUAUCAUUUUGUUUGUUUGAGUAAUAAUUUCUUUCUAUAAUAUGUAAGCCGAUAAUCUUUACGUCAAUUAUUACUUCGAAUUAUAUAUUCUUUUUCACAUUAGAAUAUUAUCAUGUCAAUGUGUGUUAAAGUUUGGUUUUUUCCAGUAAAUUGUAAAGAUAGUUCAAACGAUUGUUUUUAGGUUUUUCUUUUUUAUAGCACAACAACUACAAGGUAAGAGAUCAAAUCUUCAACAUCUAAAAAAUGUCGUGUUAAUCACUGUUAAGCUAAAUUUAUAUAUAUUCGAUGAGAUCUUCAAAAAAUUAUUUUGGUGAAAUGAACUUUGUAUGUAUAUUGAUUUCAGUAUAAUGAAGGCAAACUCUAAUAUUUGAUCAUUUGAUGUUUUCUCUUGGAAAGUAAAACUAUCUUGAAAUAUAUUUUUUUUUUUAAUCUUGUUCUCAAGUUUGAUUUGUCUUGAGGGCUUUGCCACUUGUUAUUAUAGGCUUUUAGUUCAGAGUUAUAGCUCUUAAAUUUGAAAAUGGUUUAAGUUUUUAAGUGCCUUUAGCAUUUAAAGACGUGUUUGAUUCUCAACAAUCUAGUCAGUGAUUUACUUUUUUGAAUUCUCUCAAUAUCUUCCUUGGAGUUUUUAACUUCUUAAAUCUUUAAAAGAGCAAAAUAAAAUUAUAUUUGAUGUGUCGGUAUUAAGAGAUUUAGUCUAUUUCAUAAUCUUCAAAUGCUUCAGGGAACCUAUAUUCAAAUAUUUAAAACUUCAAUCUUUGGAUUUUUAGAGCUUUCGAGCUUUGUCGACUUUCAAACCUAUAUAAGAUAUCUCAAGUAUCUUGAUCUUCAAAACUUGAUAAAAAAAAAUUGCACUUUCAAUCAUCCGUCUUUAAAUCCUCAAAACUUUUAAGUGUUAACCUUUUCUUCCAACCCCUAAAAUGAGGAGUAAGACCUCAAUAUAUAUACGAAGAUGCCAAGGGCUUAGCUACAGUUCCUUUUAAGCCAAAAAUUAGGCUAAGUUUGUUCUUUGGCCCAAAAUUCUAGGCAUCGACGUGAAUUAGAUACACUGAAUUUUAAACCAGGACAACUUUAAUUUCUCGAUCCAAUUCAAAUUAUAUUUGAGACUCAAGGAGUAUUAGCCAAGUAUACCAAUCGUGGUCUAGGCUAGAUCACUAGUAAAUUGAACAAGUUAUUUUUGUGAUGAAUGACUACAAAGAAGACACAUGACCUUUUUUUAAUUCACCAUUCAUUAGCAUCCAAAUUUAAAAUUUGAGAAAAUAAUGAUGAAUUGGGUCUAAAAUUGAAUAAAAUGAACUUCUUCCAAAAACAAUAGAUUAUAAUAUUUGGUAAAUAUAUGAAUUGAGGUGUAUAAGAAGAGAAGGUGGCACUUAGAUCUCGAUCUCCAUCUUCUCGAAGACGUGACAGCGACUAUGGACCCACGCGGUUCAAACGCCUCAUCAAUUGCUCCCUUUUUGUUUCUUUCUUUCUUUUUUUUAAAAUAUUAUUAUCAUUAUUAUUAUUAUUAUUCCUUCAUACUUCAUAGUCAUGUUUUAUCUUUUAUCUUUUUUCCUUUUAAUUUCUUAAUUAGUAUUUUAUUUUGAUAAUCGCCCUAAAUAGCAAAAUACAUCAAAUAUUUAUACUUUUUAGAAAAACGAUUAAAAAUAACACAAUAUUUUGAUUCACAAUUAUUUCUAAAAAAUUAAAGAUAAUUAAACAAUAUUUUGAUUCACAAUUAUUUUAAUUUAAAGAUAAUUAAACAAUAUUUUUGUUCACAAUUAUUUCUAAAAAGAUCAAAGAUAAUUAAAUUUUUAUUUUAGUAAUUCUUUUAAAAUGUGUAAACAAUCUUUUUUUAUUAUUCUUGAAAAAUUUAGAGACGUGUUCAAAUAUAACAAAAAAAUUGAAACUAUUUACAAAAGAAAUAUAGUAAAAGUUAUUGAAUUCUAUUUAGCACGUACUUUUAGAUUAUGAAAAAUUGUCAAAAAUAACAAAUUUGACAAAAUAUUUAUAUCAUAUAGCAGAAUUUUAGAUUCUAUCGAUAAUAAUAUAGAAUCCAAAACUUUUGUUAUAGCUUGUAAAUAUUUUAAUUUAUUUUACUAUUUUUAUAUAUUUUGUGAAUAGUUUCUUCAUCAGAAUUUCUAUAUAUAAAACCAAAUAUUGAAAAUUUUUAAUUAUUACAAAAUAACUAAAUGAAAAAAAUAUUUACGGUUAAGACCAAAAUAUAUAUAUAUUUUUAAUUCACUAGUAGUUAUCUUUAUCAAAUAUUAAAAUUUAGUGGUGUAUAUAUAUGUUUAAUUUAAAUAACAUCAUGCAGUUAUAUAAAUAUUAAUAUAUGUAGAGUCAAUUAAUUGUCCUAACAAAAAAAACCUUAUUCCACUUUACUACUUUUAAAACUUCCUAUUUAUUUUCCUUCAAAAAAAAAAAAAAAAAUAGAACUCUACUAUUUAAAGAAUAACAUGGACCCUAUUUAAGUGUAAUUGAGAGUGUUUUCAAGAUGUAGCCCAUGUGCCAUCUCUUUCCUUCCCUCAAUUAAAUAACUAAAAAUAAAGAUGCCCUUUAACUCACCUUUUUCUAUAUUAAAAUAAGUAUUUGAAUAUAUUAUAAUAAUAAAUAUUAAAAAACUACAAAUUUCAUCCUAAUUUUAUUUUUGUUCAAUCUAUAUUGUUUGAUAAAAUAUCAUUAAGUCCAAAAUUUUCAUAAAUUGUUUUCAUAGACGUUGAAGAAUGAAAUCGAAAAAACUAACCCUUAAAAUAGAUAUUUAACGUUUAGACAUAAAUAGAUAUAUAUAUCAACUUGUUGUACAGUCUAUCACAUAUACAAAUUAAAUUUUUGUUAUAUUAAUAAAUAAGUUAGUUGAUUUUGUUAUUUUUGAAAUUGAGGUAAGAGUUUAGGUUAGUUGAGUUGAAGAUGUUAUUAAUUAUUUAAAUUUUUUCUCUUAUCAAAAAAAUGAAAAUUGUCUGAGUUACACUAAUUAUUAGCUAGUAAUAAUUUAUUUUUAAAUUUGAAUCUCUGCAUUUUUUCUUGAAUGAUUAAAUUAAAAGAUUUGUGAGAUACUAGGAAAAAUACAAAAUUCAAAUUGAUUCCUCCAUACAUUAAGGUUGAACAUAAUAAUCAUAUGAAAAACUAUAUAUAUAUAUAUAUAUAUAUAUUAUUAACCACAAUAUGCAAAAUUUGACACUUGUAUAGUUGGGCUAUUGUUCAUUCAAUAAUUAGUCCUUUUGUUUUAUUUUUCUAUUUUAUAAAGAAAAAUUGUUGUGUUUUUAUUUAUAUAUAUCUUUUAAUCAUUACAAAGGCCCAUACUUCGGCCGUCCGACGGCAGGAAUUAUAGAAGUUUGACGCCGGUAAUAUAAUAUAUGAUUUUAUGUUGUCAAUUUAGGUUUUAUUCCAAAAUAGAUUUUAACCAUUAGAUAUUUUUUUCUUGGGUCAUAUUUGAUAAUUUCUUAUAAAUAUUUUUUCUCAAUGAUUAUAAAACAUUUUUGGAAUGUUUUCUCAAUAAUUAAAAGUAAGAUAAUUCUACUCUCUUGACAAUUUAAUUCACUCCUCGUGUCUUUGCUUUUUUUGAAAAAUAAUAUCUAGAAUGGAAAUAGUACUUUUAAUUUCGAAGUUGAUCAUAUAUAUAUAAAAUGUAAGAUUUCAAAUCUCAUAGGUUACGAACUCUAUCAAAUUUUGAAAAGCCUAAACUAAACAACUGAAAAUAUAACCUAAGUUAAACUAGUCUAACUCAAAGCACUCAAAAAUUGUAAAAAAUGGUUUUAUAGAAGGUUUGAACAAUAGAAAAGAACUCCGAUCGAUCGACUUACAUAUAAUAUGAAAUCAUCACAAUAAUAUUUAAAAGUCUACGCAUAUUUUAAUAGGACGAGAUUACCGGAAGAAAUGAAAAAUGAAAAUUAGUGCAAGAUAUAGAAAAAAGAUAGAGAGAAUAAUGAGUGAGCUAAAGUCGUUGGAACAAAGGAAAAGGAGAAAUUAAUGAGAAUAAUGGACCAAGUCUUACAUGCAAGCAUGUAGGAGACAGAAUAUAAACAUACACACACAUAUGUGAAGCAAAUAAUUGAUUGCAAAUACAUGAGACAUAUGACAAUUAGGAAAUAUAAUCAAAGAUAUUAGAAAGAUCCCAAAUUUAUUGAGUUCCGAGAUGGUUUCAAUAUUUGGAAUUAGUAUUUGAUCGAAUUUUGAUAAUCAAAUUCAAACGAUAAUCGAAGAUGAAAAAAUAAGAUGAAGGUCUUUGAGAAUUGCUUGAAUUUCGACCAAAGAAAAAACGAGAGGUAAAUUAUCGUAGUCGAUUGAUGAUGCUGCUACUACAAGGCGGCCUUGACCGUUAUUUUUUAUUUCAUAUGUUGAUUUUUUUGUCAAAAAGAUUUAAUAAGAAUUUUGUUUAUUAUUAUUUUGAAGAUAAAUUAUUAAUUAUAUUAGUAGAUAAAAGAUUGUUAUUUUUAUUAUGAAUCUUUAUCUAUUUCUUUUUAAACAAGAAAAUUUGCGGGGUCUUUAAUUGUGAAGCUUCUCGCAAGUUUAGUGUGCCGAAUUAUUGGACUUUUAUUCGAAGAAAUUCGUGUUGCUGAAGAAGCUUGUUGAAGGUACUUUAGUUACCUUAUGUGUUAUGGUAAAUUGCUGAUUAGAAUCUAGAGGUGUUCUCACCAUGUAUCAAUUGAUAAUAAAUAUGAAAGAAGACUGAAAUAGUUCAACUGCGGUCAAUGAAUUCAGGGGAACUUGAAUUUAUCUUCAAGUAGAUUUAAACACAGAUUCAAGAAAAUCUAUCUUUGAUUAAUUGGUUUCUAUUAUAAUUUAAGAAUGUUGUUGAUUGAUCAAUUGAAUCUUAAUAAUAUUUCUUAUUUGAGCUAAUAAGUUUGCUCUAGACAUAGGUGCAUGCAAACUGGUUUAACAACAGUUUUUGUGUUAUUCGUUCUUUAUGUACUUACGAUAGCUAUUUUUGUUGUUAAUUAUUUUUUCGACAUAGCUAGAAGAUAUUAUUCAUCAUUUCACUUAAUUUUAACACAUUAGAUAUAAUUUAUUAUUUUACAUACAUAUGUGGAUGGAGAUGGAGUUUUUUUUCUUUUUAAAUGUUAUUUAUGAUAUGAGGGAGAACCUUGAUCUUGGAGUCCUCAACCCAAAUUAGGGUGGAAAUGGUUCAAUUCGAUAACCAAACCGAACUUAAUUGAAAAGUUUAAAAUUUCUAUAUAGGAAACAUAACCAAACUGUAUUUAUGCAGUUUGCUUCAGUUUCAAAUUUGAUUUUAGUAUUCUUAAAAAAAAUAAUUCAAUUUGGUUCGAUUUUGUUAUAAUCUAAAAAAAAAUCAAUUUGGUUCGAUUUUGUUAUAAUCUAAAUCAGAAACGAUUCAGUUUUACUCAAAUUUUUAAAUAUAUAAAUAUAAAAAUAGAUGUAUAUAAUAGUUAAAAUAUCUGUCUCGUUUAUAGAGAUUAAAAUGAUUAGUGUAUCAAAUCUCAUAUUCAUAAUUGAAUUCCUAACCUUCAUCGAGUUCUUAAGGAAAAAAAAAAAAUAUUUUGAAGAAUUUAUAAUUGAUAUUUGAUUUUUUUAAAAAAAUAGUAGAUGUUACAAAAUAUUUAUAACUUAUAGCAAAUUCUAUCAAUGAUAGUCAUUAAUAUACUACAGCGAUAUAAGACUCUAUCAGUGAUAAAAUUCAAAAUUUUUGCUGUAGCUUGUAAAUAUUUUAAUUUAUUUUACUAUUUUAAAAAUUUCUCUUGAAAAAUUUACAAAUAUAGCAAAAUUUGUCAAAUUUUAUCAUUGAAAGAAGUCUAUCAUUGAUAGAUCAUGUUGCAAAUAUUAGUCUAUUACUAAUAGAUCAUACAAGCCUGUAAACAAUACAAGUCUAUCAGCAAUAUUUGUAAUUUUUUUGAAAAAAUGUUGAUACAUCUUUAAUUAUUAUUUAUAAACUAUAAUUUUCUUUUUAAAAAUCUCCAUAAUAAUUUAUACAAUUUCGUAAGUUAAAAUUUUAUUAUGUUUCUUUUUCUAUAAACAAAUUUUAACAAAUUUUAUAGUUAAUAAUAAUUUUGAGUUUAUCUUUUUCCCAAAUGUAUGUGUGAAUAAAUAAAGUUAAAUAUAACAGUUGACAACUAUUUAGACCUCAAAAUAACGUAGAGAGCUAAACUAAUUCGUCUUCCUUAACGCGGAAGACGAAUUAUUAUUUUAUAGUCAAACUGUAAAUACCCAAUGAAAGAAUUUCAAGAAAAAUUUCAUGUUCUUCCUUUGAUUCUGCGAUUGGGGAAAUUGGAAAAACUUUGAAGUUUACAUUUUUAGAUUUCUAGGUCACGAGUUGUUGAAGAAUCACAUAAGAGGAAGCUUGUGAGUUGAGCUUUCCGUUUAUUUAUUUUGGUCAAACUUUUUUCUUUCCUACUGAACCCAUGGCUGAUUGUUAAAUUUCGUUGUUCAAGUUUCCAGAAUUUAUAAAGGUAUGCAUUUUUUAUCUAUUCAUUAUUUUAAUCUGGACAUUGAUUUAAUACAAUGUUGGAUGCUUUUAAGUCAUUUGAAUUUCAAAUUCAACCUCACUGAUUUUGGUUUAGAGUUUAAAUGGAAGUAAUGUUAUUGGUUUUGAUGAAGGGUUUAUUAUUGAAUUUGUUUGUAUUAUCUAUUGGUUAUUUCAUUUUGUUAUUGUUCUGUUUGAGUGCUGUACUACUAGAAUAUGAAUGGACAAUCUUCAAUGAAGUAUUUGGGGAUUAUAAUGUGUAAUUUGUAGAAGAUUUGAAUGAACUAUCUUGAAUGAACGGUUUAGUUAAGUUACCAGCCUUCUAAUUGUCUGUAUUGACAGAGGAUUUCAGUUCCUUGAUUGUUUAUUUUAAUGUCCUACCAGGUGUCUAAUCUAUUCAACCGGGCCAAUCGAUAGAAGUUUUAUAAUUAGCCACAGACUUUACUUACUCCUUCUAGUUUGCCAUACGAUCUUAAAAUGGUGCCUCUUUCUGAUCUUUUCCCAUCCUUUGAUCACUGUGCUCGUCUCUUUUCAAAAUGCAUUCAACACAAACAUUUAAGGGUUGGCAUGUCCUUGCAUUCCCACCUUAUCAAAACUGCACUUUCAUUUGACCUCUUCCUUGCAAAUCGUCUUAUUGACAUGUAUUCCAAAUGUAAUUCUAUGGAAAAUGCACAGAAGGCAUUUGAUGAUUUGCCCAUUAGAAAUAUUCAUUCGUGGAAUACCAUUCUUGCGUCCUACUCUCGUGCUGGAUUUUUUAGUCAAGCUCGUAAAGUCUUUGAUGAAAUGCCUCAUCCAAAUAUUGUUAGCUACAAUACCUUGAUUUCUAGCUUUACUCACCAUGGGCUGUAUGUAGAAUCAAUGAAUAUCUUUCGACAAAUGCAACAAGAUUUCGAUCUUUUAGCCUUGGACGAGAUUACUCUUGUGAGUAUAGCAGGUACUUGUGCCUGUUUGGGUGCUUUGGAGUUCUUGCGUCAGGUUCAUGGAGCAGCUAUUGUCAUUGGAUUAGAGUUUAAUAUGAUUGUUUGUAAUGCUAUAGUUGAUGCUUAUGGUAAAUGUGGCGAUCCAGAUGCGUCAUAUUCUAUUUUCAGUAGAAUGAAGGAGAGAGAUGUUGUUACCUGGACCUCCAUGGUUGUAGCUUAUAAUCAGACAUCCAGGUUAGAUGAUGCUUUUCGAGUUUUCAGUUGUAUGCCAGUAAAAAAUGUUCAUACUUGGACUGCAUUGAUUAAUGCUUUAGUGAAGAACAAGUAUAGCAAUGAGGCCCUGGAUUUGUUUCAACAAAUGCUGGAGGAAAAAACUUCUCCAAAUGCUUUCACAUUUGUAGGCGUUUUAAGUGCCUGUGCUGAUCUUGCUUUGAUAGCAAAAGGCAAAGAGAUUCAUGGACUCAUAAUCAGAAGGAGCAGUGAACUUAAUUUUCCAAACGUAUAUGUAUGUAAUGCUUUAAUUGAUCUGUACAGCAAGAGUGGUGACGUGAAAUCAGCUAGGAUGUUGUUUAACUUGAUUCUUGAAAAGGAUGUAGUAUCGUGGAAUUCAUUAAUAACUGGGUUUGCACAAAACGGGCUUGGAAGGGAAGCACUUCUUGCCUUCCGAAAGAUGACAGAAGUAGGGAUAAGGCCUAAUAAAGUGACGUUUUUGCUGUGCUGUCUGCCUGUUCCCAUACUGGUUUGUCAUCUGAAGGAUUAUGUAUUCUGGAGUUAAUGGAGAAGUUUUAUGAUAUUGAGCCUAGUUUAGAACAUUAUGCAGUCAUGAUCGAUAUGUUUGGAAGAGAAAACAGACUUGCUGAAGCAUUGGAUUUAAUAUCCAGAGCACCCAAUGGAUCAAAACACGUUGGGAUAUGGGGUGCAGUUCUGGGGGCUUGUCGUAUACAUGAAAAUUUAGACCUGGCUAUAAGAGCUGCAGAAACUUUGUUUGAGAUGGAGCCAGAUAAUGCUGGAAGAUAUGUAAUGUUAUCUAAUGUAUUUGCUGCAGCAAGUCGAUGGAUGGAUGCCCAUAAUGUGAGAAAACUUAUGGAGGAAAGAGGUUUCAAGAAGGAAGUAGCAUAUAGCUGCAUAGAAAUAAGAAAUAUAAGGCAUAAGUUUGUGGCAAGAGAUAAUUCCCAUAGUCAGAUGGGUGAGAUAUAUGAGUUAAUGUUUAUACUACUAGAGCAUAUGAACAUUAUUGGUUACAUGGCUCUUGAUGAUGGUAUUUACUUUUAUGAUGGAUACAGUACUUGAACUUUGGGCAUGAUCUAUUUGAAUCCCGUGUCUCACCAUUGCAAAUAUAUUGUAAAAGUUAGCAAUUUCAUUGAAUGAAUUUGAGAAUAUGAAGCGGAACGAUUAAGCUACAAGGCUGAGAAGGACGGAUUGCUAUCAAGUAGGAGAUCUUGAUUUUAUUUUAUUUAUUUGUUUUAGUAUUAUUAUUGUUUUUGUUUGUGGUAAUAUACAUCUAGUUUUAGUCGGUAAUGCAUGAGAAUAUUUAUCAUUCAACAUUUCAGUGGCUAAAUGAAUCAAUUAUAGGUCAUCAUCAUCGUGCUUGUAGUAUUUUAUUUUCUUUCCCCACCAUAUUUGUGUGAUACCAUUACAAAUAAUCCUAGAAAAAAUUGUGAAAAUUUGAACUUGUACAGGGCUGGACACGACUGGGCACACCAAGGUUAAGAAAAAAAUAGAUUUUCUUAAUUCUUAUAGACUGAAUUUUUGUAAAUUGAUCAAUCUUAAAGUAUGAGGACGCUAUCUUCUUUCUUUAGUCAUAGCCAACUAAUUCCAUUUAUAUCUUGUAAGAUUUGAAAUGUCGUCAAUUGGCUAAGCUCUUUAUCUUUUUGGUGAAGUACUGUAACAAAAACUUACACGUUUUAUUGAUAAAGAAGUAUAAUAUCGAUAUCAAUAUAUAGACAUAUGUUUUAUCAUAAAAAAAGUGCACGCAUCCUACUUUUUUAGAAAUUGACCUGUCAUCAUGUUUGUUUUGUGUUGCUUUGGUGUUUUCAUUUUUUUUUAAUUUUCUUUAUGUAUUGGUGACUCUGAUUCUUACAUCCUAUUAUAUUAUCCAAUAGGAAGAUUGUCUUUGAUUAAGAGAUAUCUUUCAUGGAAUGUGGCUCACUAGUGAUUUUCGUCUUGCUGCUUUUCUUUCUGUCUUCAUGACUUUGAUCGUUUCUUCCUUUUCUGUAACUUGCUAGGAAGACUGCUGUACUGGAGGUAAAAGAGCUGAUGAAGUUCUGUUCUUAAUUUAGACGGAAAAGUUUGUAGGUGUGAGGGCUCUAAGAGUUAGUUUGCAGAGAUGAAAUUCAGAAAUAAUUUCCCUGUAAGAGGGCAUCAUCUUUUCUUGGUCGUAGUUGCUCUCACAUUCACUGUCUUGGUGUUGUGGGCUUGGGAGAAUCCUUUCCUUACCGCUUCUCAGUCAGUUCAAGCAUGGUAUAGAAAUUCUUAUGCAGGUAUGCUUGUCAAUGCUUGUUUAUAACUCUAGAACUGGUCUACUAUUAAAUUAGACUAGUUUUUGGUAUUCUUCGUUGUUCUCUUCUUGUUGGAACUAUUAGAUUUUUGAGUUCAGUAGUACAUUUCUUUUUUAUGACAAAGACAAUCUGAUUGGAGAAAAGUGAAGUUUGGGAGGUUAAAGGAAGUAAGCUAAAUAUGGCCUUUAUACACAGUUUUUGGUUUCUCCUUUAAAAUUUUGAAAUUUGCUCUCAAAGGUAUUGACUUUUUAGUCAAGUUACUAUUUUCAAUAACGUGGUUGUAGUUGAGUAGAGAAACUAUGACGUAACAUUGACAACCUUAUAUUCUAUGAAUGGAAAAUAUUUGAAUGUUAAGUUUUUAUCUCAUUUCAUCCAAAUUAGAAAAUCCCGUUGGCCUUACCUAAAUAGAAGCUUACUUGAUGGACAACUUCAGUGUACAUGCUCCUUCAGUUUCAUGCAACUCUCCCCAUUCACUGUUGGUGCAGCCUUUUCUCUUGACUCAUGCUACCAAUCCCCUUUCUCGCAAACCUAUAUUAUUCAGCCUUAAUGCUCUUAGAAACCUACCCCAUGAGCAUACGGUUCUCCUUUCAUUUCUUUUAGUAAUUGGGUCCGUGGGUUUUCUUCUCCAAAAUAGUUGGUUGGACUUUUUUUUGGAUGUCAUAGUUGGUUGGGUUUUUAAUAUAAGAGAGUUGGUAAAUUUUUAAUAUAAAAAACUGCCAAUAUUUUUACAAUGCUGCAUCACUGUUGCUAUAUCAAUUUCAACCACAUUUAUUGAAUACGGAUGUUUUUGAAAAAUUUGGAACUUUGAGGACAAAAUUGAAACUGUCAAAUUGGCAAAAGAAGAAAUGGUUCAUAAAUGUAAUGAAUUUAGUUAAAUGCUGAAACAUAUUCAAAUGCAAAUUUAAUGUAUUUUGCCUUCUCUUGGUAUAUUUGUACCUCGCUGAUGGUUUUUAUUUGCUUAGGGUUCGUCGUAGGUUCAACAAAAAGUUCUGUAUUACCUAACACAGUAAGGGAGAACGUUGAAAAAACAUAUUCAAAUUCAAGUAUAAAGAAGAGAUAAUACAAGAUGAUGCAAAUUCAGAAAUUACACCCACAGAUUCUGCAUUCCAAAUAGUUCUUGAGAGGAGCAAGAGUAAUCAGAAUAGUAAGUACUGAGCCUAAACUAGUGGUGCUGUUUUCUAAUCACUAGUUUGCAUGUUAUUUUCUCUUUCAGAAUUGUUCCCUACGGUUGGGUAACCGUUAGGAGUUUCAUGGUGGCGUAAUCCUUGCUUGUGAUUGAAGCUUAUUUCUUAUUGAUUUUUGUUCAUGUCUCAAAAGAGAAGUUUUACGAUUUCUCUCAUUGUAGAAGGGAAAAUUCUAAAUCAGCUAUUUAACUCUUCGUUUUAUUGGCACAUGAUUUGUUUGUUAGUUAACUAACGGUCUAAGUAGUUUUUGGAACUAUUUUAGAAACCUUUAUCAAACCUCAAGGACUAAAAUGUUCAUUUUGAAACUUCAUGGACCAAAGAGACAUCCACUUUAAAUCUCAAAGACCAAAAGUGUAUUUUGCCAUUUUAUUUUAUUUUUAGAUUUCAUAGUUGGUUGGAUUUUUUAUAUAAGAGGGUUUGGUAAUUAUUUAAUAUAAAAAAAUGUCAAUUCAAAGAAAAACAUCACCAUUGAAAUAUCAAUUUUCAACCACAUUUAUUGAAUAUGGAUGUUCUUGAAAAUUUUGACACUUUGAGGACAAAAUUAAAACUGUUAAAAUCAGCAAUAUAAAAGAUGGUUCAUAAAUGUAAUGAAUUUAGAAAAAUGCUGAAACAUAAAUGCAAAUUUAGUGUAUUUUGCCUGUUUUUGCUAUUUGUGUACCUUGCUGAUGUUCUUUAUUUGUUUGGGGUUCAUGGUAGGUUCCACAAACAGUUCUGUAUUGCCUAACACAAUAAAGGAGAAUUCUGGAAAAACAUAUUCAAAUUCAAGUACAAAGGAAAAGACAGUAAAAGAUGAUGCAAACUCAGAAGUUAAACUUACAGAUUCUGCAUCUACAAUAAUUUUUAACAGGAGCAAGAGUAAUCAGAAUAGUAAGUACUCAGGCCAAAAUCGUGGUGCUGUUUUCUAAUUACAUACUUAGCAUAUUUAUUUUCUCUUCGCAAAAUUGUUCCCUUCAAUUAUGAAACCGUUGGGAGUUUCAUGGGGGCGUGAUCCCUGCUUACUGUUUAUGAUUGGAGCUUCUUUCUUAUUGACUUUUAUUGAUGUCCCAAAAGAGAAAUUAUUUUACAAUCUCAUUGUAGAAGGGAGAAUUCUAAAAUGAAGGAUACCUAGAGAUGUUUUGAAUAUUUUGAUAUCUUGAAACUCAUGAUAAUUCAAAAUGUGCUUUAUCAGUCGUUUACUUUGUUCGAUGCUAUGUUCUUGAUUAAAGAUCUAGUCGUGGUAAAAAAAUUUGACCGGUAUCCUUUUCCUAGUGUUGUUACUCUUUACAUCAGAGCCCUCUUAUAGCAAUAAAGAGAAAGGAAACCAUAUGGAUUGUUGUUGGUGAAAUUUUCAAUUAUUUAGACCAUAUGGAUUAUGGCUUUAUAGAACAAAUUUUCCUCAUCUAAGGUCUAUGUUUUCCUCACGAAACAAAGCUUCGAUUGUUAAAUAUUGAAUUAUAUUGAUAUCAGGCAUUUAUCAUGAAGGCCAUGACAUGCAUAUUAAUCCAAUAUUUAAUUUUAUCUAUGAAAUUAGCUUAUUCAGUGCACAUUAAAUCGGUUUGUUUGUUAUAUUGACUGAUUUAACUUUUCAGCCUGUAGCUAUGGAAAUGGAGGAUGGGUCCUUGACAAUAGUCGACCGCUAUACUCUGGCUUUGGAUGUAAGAGAUGGUUAUCAGCAAUGUGGUCAUGUAGACUGACCCAACGGACAGAUUUUUCCUAUGAAAAAUAUCGUUGGGUUCCCAAAGAUUGUGAAUUGCCAGCAUUUGAGCGGUCUGCAUUCCUGAAAAGGUAAUGACUUCCUUCUAUAUUUUUGCAUAUAGGUUUAGCAAGUCUGAUAAUAUAAAACUGUCUUGUUUUAUUUAGUGUAUUGGUUUUAAAAUUUUCAACCAAACAAUUUCCACCAUACGAUGAAUUCUGAAAGUAUAGGUAUCUAUCUUAUGGUCCUCAACUCUCUGCCAAGUGAACUAUUUAAUGGAUUGUGAUUUACUAAGGUUACUUUCUGCUAUUCUCGACACUCUCUGAAUGAUCUGAAUUUGUUCCAUUCAGAAUGCAGGACAAAACCAUCGCAUUCAUUGGGGAUUCAUUAGGAAGGCAGCAAUUUCAGUUUUGAUGUGUAUGGUCACUGGUGGGGAAGAAAGGCCUGAGGUUCAAGAUGUAGGAAAGGAAUAUGGUCUUGUCAAAGCCAAGGGUGCAAUUCGUCCUGAUGGCUGGGCAUAUCGUUUCUCAAAUACCAAUACUACCAUUUUAUACUAUUGGUCAUCUAGCCUCAGCGAUUUAUUGCCUUUGAACACAUCAGACCCAGCCACCGAUGUAGCAAUGCAUCUUGACCGUCCGCCAGCAUUUCUGAGAAAAUUCCUUCAUCUAUUUGAUGUGUUGGUUCUCAAUACAGGACAUCAUUGGAACAGGGGAAAAAUGAGACAAAAUAGAUGGGUAAUGUACACUGAUGGAGUUCGUAGUGAACUCGGGAACUUAAAAGAAAUAGGCAUAGCUAAAAAUUUUACGGUGCACAGUAUCGUGAAAUGGCUCAAUUCACAACUCCCUUCCCAUCCUCGACUCAAGGUUUUUUUCAGGACCUUAUCACCUCGGCAUUUCCGCAAUGGGGAAUGGAAUUCUGGAGGUAGCUGUGACAACACAAGACCAUUAUCUGGAGGAAGCAAAGUAGAGCAGAAUGGAUCAAGUGAUACAGUUGUUGAGAAUGCUGUAAGAGGUACACAAGUAAAGAUAUUGGAUAUAACUGCUCUUUCAUAUCUAAGAGACGAAGCUCACAAAUCCAAUUACAGUAUCAAAGGAACAUCGAGCGGUAGCGAUUGCUUGCAUUGGUGUCUCCCUGGUAUCCCGGAUACGUGGAACGAGAUUCUUAUUGCACAAAUAUAGAUUCUUUUGUCUUGAAGAUUUUAGAUUUUCUCUCUUGUGUAAUCCUGGAAGACUCAUCUUUCUAAUUUUUGCUGCCUAGAGCUGUACUAAUUGGUUCAGGGGAAGAUGAUCACUGAUGAGAUGGCGUUGGUUGCUACUGAAUUAAAUUAUAUGGUGGGUAUUGCCUACGUGUCAUUUUUCAUUUAAAAAGAGUCAAUUUAUACUUGUAAACUGUAUAAAUUACAUGUAUCAAUUUAAACUAUAAUAAGUAUAUUUCAUUUAACAAACUGGUGGAUCAGCAAAAUGGAUGAUUAGAAUUAAUGCAUUGACAUUUUUUAUAAUUGUACUUUUAUCUAAAGGUUCAAACUGAUUCGAAAAUACAGGCGAGUAAGGGUUUCAAAUGCUUUUUGAUAUGAGACGAGGGUGUAAAGAAAACAUAUUGACUUUUGACUUUAUAGAAUGAUGCUUGAUAAUGUUCAUGUUUCUGUUCUUCUUCAUUUAUCGAGAAAGCAUGCUUGUUUGAUCCUAAUCAUUCCCACCCAUUUGUUUACGAGGCCAUUAGGUAUCAAAUCCUCACAAUCAUUUUUCAAAGUUAUACUAUACAAGAGUUACAGAUUUAUCAACAAAUGAGCUCCUUGUAAGGCCUAUAUAAUUCACAACUACCAAGAAAUCACGGGUAGUACUGCCAUCCUUAAGUAAUAGUUCCUGCUGUUUGGUCGCGAUCAUCUACUGCGAAUUGUGCAAUUUCCUUUACGUAUGGGGCAGACGAACCAUAAUCACCCAGAGGAGUACGCAUAUAUCUAUGUAUCUUUCUAAAUUAUUACUUAAUAAAAGGGUAUACUUUAAUUUGUGUCCAUCUUUCCCAUCAAAAUGUUGUUUCAAAUUUAUAGAACUCUGCUCUCCAAUUUAUUCUAUUCCUUUAGCGAUUACAUUCAACUUAACGAAUAGUAAUCGCUAUUGUUAGGAAUCUAAUUCGUGUAUUCCCUUUUUAUUUAAGAUUAUGGUAAGUUGGAAUCUUAACUCAUUAAUAUCACAUGAUUCACAAUAUUUUAAUUAGGAGUUUUUUUUUCAAAAAUAGAAUAAAACACGACAAUAUUUAUACAACGUGAAAUAACAAAAAUACUUUCAUAAUUAAUCGGUCACACACCAUUUUGUGCCCGUCUAAACGAUCUUGUACCCUUAUACAUAGUCUAAACGAUAAUAUAGUACCAACUCUAAACAAUUUUUACCCAGCCUAAAUGAUCUUGUAAUAAAACUAAAGGAUCUGUUGGUGAUAGUGAUCUAUUUCUGUCUAUUUGAGAUAAACAACUGAUUGUUUACAUGUUAGUACACGAUCGUUUAGAUCCUGUACCAAUAUCGUUUAGAUCUUGGACCAAGAAGAAAAAAGAAGAUAAGAGAGGAAGAAAGAAGAAAUUUUGAAAGAGAAAAUGAAGAAAUAGAAAUAUGAAUAAGGAAAAGUAAUAACAUGAAGAAGAGAAAAAUAAACGUAAAAAAAAAGAACUGAAAAAUUGUCCCGCAAUAAUCAAAAUUCAAUAAAGACAAAUAUGAAAUUUAUAAAAGGGUAAUUGGAUUCAUAGUCUUUUUUUUUUUAAAUUGUUAUACAAAUAGUAAAUAUUUGAUUUAGCACUUUUGUUAUAUUUAUUAAAUUUACAUUUUAAUUAUCUCUAAUUCACUAAAUGUUAUCCUUUUUCUUUCUCGAUUGAAUGUAUCAAAUAAGAUUUAAGGAAAAUUAUUUUUAAAUUUUUUAAAAAUAAAUGUAACAAAAUAUAUCAUAAUGCAUUGACGUUUUUUAUAAACGUGAUUUUAUCUAAAAGUUCAAACGGUUUGGUGUUUGAUAAUGUUCAUGUUUCUAUUCUUCUUCGUUUGUUGAGAAAGCAUGCUUGUUUGAUCAUAAUCCAUUCUCAUUUGUUUCCAAGGCCAUUAGGUAUCAAAUCCUUCCAAUCAAUUUUCAAAUUUAUACUACACGUCAGUUACAGAUUUAUCAAUAAAUUAAUUAAUUUUUCAAAUAUAUUAGCAUAUUAAUGUAGUGAAAUGGAGGAAACUCCCCUGAGUCACGUCCUUCAUCAAGGAGUAAAUGAAAGUUCUUUAAAUAUCAUACUAAAGAAGCUUGAACUUCGAAAGUCAUAAUCUCAACACUCUAACCGAUGUCAGAUAAAAGGAAUAGCAACAAAUCACAUCAUUGAGAUAGAACUCAAUUACAUGCUUUUUGGUUUUGUGAAUGAUUGACUAUUACCGGGAUAAGUUGUUCGUCACUAUCUAUCUUCUUGCACAACAACGUCUUUCCCUCCAUCUUACAGAAUCAUUUGCAUACAAAAUAAUGUCCAUAUACGUGAGUAAAAAUCCCAACGACAAAUCUUCACUAAAAAAAAUCUUUUUGAAAAGGGAGCCAAAUAAGAUCUUUGUCAAAAUAGAAUAUUCUUCGUAAUUUUUCUUGACCGAACUCUUUUAGCCACGUCACCAAACGAAAUGAAAAGCUGAACAAAGCAACAAUCACGAGCCCACACAACAUCUAACAAAAGUUGGUUGAGCUCACAUAAAUUAGGGCUAAAGUGAGAAAUUAAAGUAUAUCCCUUUGUGCUGAACUAGGCUCUAUUAAACAACACAACAAGAAGAACAUUAAAUUCAACUCCAUACCUUCAGUGAUGUGGUCUAUUUGGCUUGAGAGAAACAGUAGUUGAAUCUUCAAAGACAAAUACAAAUCGACCAUUAAUAUUUGGAAAGACAUAUGUACGCUUUCGGUUCUAUAGACUAGCAAUUCUCCACUUUUUACAAAAUACAGUGCUUCAACAAUUGCCAUUAAUCUUUCGGCUUUUUAGUCAUCUUUUGUAUGGGGGCUUAUCUCUAGUUCCUUCUUUCCACAGGUGUUAUUCCUUACUUCUCUUGUAUCUACUGUUAUAUUAUGAAUGAAAGCAAGAUAAUGAUGAGGGUGCUAAAGGCUAGUGGAGAUGGAGAUGGAGAUGCGCACAUGCGCGGAUGCACUUGCUGAUCUAUUGUAUCCCUUGAAAAAAAUAGUAUCAAUGUACGCGUAAUUGAGAAAUAUACAUGCAAUUGACUUUAAAAUCAAGAUAGAAUUAAGCACGCCAUUAUGUUAUAUAUUAUUGCAAUAUAUGUUUAUUAAUUACUUAAUUAUUACAAGUGAAAACAAGUUCAAAUGAAUGUAAAUUCUUUCUAUCUACACAUAUUCUAAUUUGAUUUCUUGUAGAUGGUUUUGCUCUCAAUACAUACUUAAAAAGUAUAUGAUUUUAUUUCAUUUUUUCCCUUUAGAUACAUAUUUGUAUCCUUAACCCUUAAUUUUCAUAUGAUUAUGUUAUUGAUCAAUUGAUACAUUCAACCUGCAGCCACAAGUACAGUGAGAUUUACAUAUUUCAUUUCUCAUAUAAAAAGACCAAACUAUAUAUUUUGUGGCACGAUUAUACCUGCACUAAUUCACACUAAAUUCCAUCAAAACUCGCAUAGUCUAAGCUUCCUUAGAUGAGAAAUUCUCCUGUUUGCACCCCUUUGAAAGAAAAAAAAGAACUUCUAAACAUGCGCCCCACAACAGUGAGAUGAAAAGAUACAAAAACACACACAUAAUAGCUUUAUUUAAAAUGUAUGUUCCAUUACUUAUAUAGAUAGCUCAUACAUACGUAUAUAUAUAAGCAGUAGUAGAUGGGAUGUUGCAAUUUAUUUCGUGACAGGUUCAAACUGAGUGACCUCCAGGUAAUUAUCCCAUGGCCUAUAAUACACAACUACCAAGAAAUCACUGGUAGUACUGUCAUCCUUAAGCGACAGCACAAGGCGGUAGUUGGUUCCGGAUACAACCACGGACUCACAGUUGACGAUGGAAACGAGUGUGUAAUUUGUUCCUGCUGAUUUGUUGUGAUCAGCCACUGCCCGUUCUGCAAUUUCUUUUACGUAUGGGGCAUCCGAAUCGUCACAUGGACCAUAAGGACCCAGAGGAGUACACAUAUCUAUGUAUCUUUCUAAAUUACCCUUUCAAAAUUAUUACUACUUAAUAAGGGAAUGCUUUAAUUUGUGUGCUUCUUUCCAAUAAAAAAAAUUGUUUCAAAUUUAUAGUAAUAUGCUCUCC